RNAcentral lists this ribosomal RNA (337 nucleotides) under Glomus sp. RNAcentral's name for it is "partial large subunit ribosomal RNA". Lineage: Eukaryota; Fungi; Glomeromycota; Glomeromycetes; Glomerales; Glomeraceae. The record is from RNAcentral.
CAGUCGUACCGGCGGGUAAUCAGCCUUUUGGGUGCGAUUAUGUGGAGCGUGAGGAGUUAAUCACCCUCAUCUUUGCAUAUUUGUGCACUUUGGGUGUACUUGCUCGUGUGGUAGGUUAACAUCAAUUUUGAUCGUCAUAAAAUGAUCGGGGGAAUGUAGCUUCGAUUGAAAGGGAAACGAUUGAAGUGUUAUAGCCUUCGGUAGAUGUGAUGAUUGGGAUUGAGGAUUGCAACGGAUACCCUUCGGGGCUACCUGUCUGAUCUCUGAAAGUUGCUCUGGUGCCGAAAGCUUGCUUACGGUAUUAAAGUUGACGUUCAACAGGUUAGAACGGGAUAAA